AUGAACGCUGGCGGCGUGCCUAAUCCAUGCAAGUCGCGCGAACAGACGAGGAGCUUGCUCCUCUGACGUUAGCGGCGGACGGGUGAGUAACACGUGGAUAACCUACCUAUAAGACUGGGAUAACUUCGGGAAACCGGAGCUAAUACCGGAUAAUAUAUUGAACCGCAUGGUUCAAUAGUGAAAGACGGUUUUGCUGUCACUUAUAGAUGGAUCCGCGCCGCAUUAGCUAGUUGGUAAGGUAACGGCUUACCAAGGCGACGAUGCGUAGCCGACCUGAGAGGGUGAUCGGCCACACUGGAACUGAGACAUGGUCCAGACUCCUACGGGAGGCAGCAGUAGGGAAUCUUCCGCAAUGGGCGAAAGCCUGACGGAGCAACGCCGCGUGAGUGAUGAAGGUCUUCGGAUCGUAAAACUCUGUUAUUAGGGAAGAACAAAUGUGUAAGUAACUAUGCACGUCUUGACGGUACCUAAUCAGAAAGCCACGGCUAACUACGUG
Molecule: ribosomal RNA, 496 nt
Filed under: uncultured bacterium
Lineage: Bacteria
Description: partial 16S ribosomal RNA
Rfam family: Bacterial small subunit ribosomal RNA
Source: RNAcentral